RNAcentral lists this ribosomal RNA (527 nucleotides) under Pseudocercospora sp. PM9121A3. RNAcentral describes it as "eukaryotic LSU rRNA". The stretch from base 172 to 325 matches the Rfam family "5.8S ribosomal RNA". Lineage: Eukaryota; Fungi; Ascomycota; Dothideomycetes; Mycosphaerellales; Mycosphaerellaceae. The record is from RNAcentral.
UGAACCUGCGGAGGGAUCAUUACUGAGUGAGGGCUCACGCCCGACCUCCAACCCUUUGUGAACCAAACUUGUUGCUUCGGGGGCGACCCUGCCGACGACUCCGUCGCCGGGCGCCCCCGGAGGUCUUCUAAACACUGCAUCUUUGCGUCGGAGUUUAAACAAAUUAAACAAAACUUUCAACAACGGAUCUCUUGGUUCUGGCAUCGAUGAAGAACGCAGCGAAAUGCGAUAAGUAAUGUGAAUUGCAGAAUUCAGUGAAUCAUCGAAUCUUUGAACGCACAUUGCGCCCUUUGGUAUUCCGAAGGGCAUGCCUGUUCGAGCGUCAUUUCACCACUCAAGCCUGGCUUGGUAUUGGGCGUCGCGGUGUUCCGCGCGCCUUAAAGUCUUCCGGCUGAGCUGUCCGUCUCUAAGCGUUGUGGAUUUUUCAAUUCGCUUCGGAGUGCGGGUGGCCGCGGCCGUUAAAUCUUUAUUCAAAGGUUGACCUCGGAUCAGGUAGGGAUACCCGCUGAACUUAAGCAUAUCAAUAA